GACGAACGCUGGCGGCGUGCUUAACACAUGCAAGUCGAACGGACAGACAGAGAGCUUGCUCUCUUGAAGUUAGUGGCGAACGGGUGAGUAACGCGUAAUCAACCUGCCCUUCAGAGGGGGAUAACAACGGGAAACCGUUGCUAAUACCGCGUACGAUUCAUGAACGGCAUCGUUUAUGAAUGAAAGGUGGCCUCUAUGUAUAAGCUAUCGCUGAAGGAGGGGAUUGCGUCUGAUUAGCUAGUUGGAGGGGUAACGGCCCGCAAAGGCAAUGAUCGGUAGCAGGUCUGAAAGGAUGAACGGCCACAUUGGGACUGAGACACGGCCCAAACUCCUACGGGAGGCAGCAGUGGGGAAUCUUCCGCAAUGGACGAAAGUCUGACGGAGCAACGCCGCGUGAGUGAUGAAGGUCUUCGGAUUGUAAAGCUCUGUUAAUCGGGACGAAAGAGUUCUGCGUGAAUAAUGCAGAAAAGUGACGGUACCGGAAUAGAAAGCCACGGCUAACUACGUGCCAGCCGCCGCCGUAA
RNAcentral lists this ribosomal RNA (524 nucleotides) under uncultured bacterium. Its description in RNAcentral is "partial 16S ribosomal RNA". It matches the Rfam family "Bacterial small subunit ribosomal RNA", at positions 28 to 523 of the family's 1533-position model. The record is from RNAcentral.